AACGAACGCUGGCGGCAGGCUUAACACAUGCAAGUCGAACGCCCCGCUCGGGUAUUGUCAGACGGGUGUGUAUCGCGUGUGAACAUACCCUUUUCUACUGAGUAUCUCUGGGCAACUGGAAUUCAUAUCGUAUACGCUCUCCGGGGGAAAGAUUUAUCGGGGAAGGAUUGGCCCGCGUUGGAUUAGCUAGUUGGUGGGGUAAAGGCCUACCAAGGCGACGAUCCAUAGCUGGUCUGAGAGGAUGAUCAGCCACAUUGGGACUGAGACACGGCCCAGACUCCUACGGGAGGCAGCAGUGGGGAAUAUUGGACAAUGGGCGCAAGCCUGAUCCAGCAAUGCCGCGUGAGUGAUGAAGGCCUUAGGGUUGUAAAGCUCUUUCACCGAUGAAGAUAAUGACGGUAGUCGGAGAAGAAGCCCCGGCUAACUUCGUG
RNAcentral lists this ribosomal RNA (431 nucleotides) under uncultured bacterium. RNAcentral describes it as "partial 16S ribosomal RNA". It matches the Rfam family "Bacterial small subunit ribosomal RNA", at positions 29 to 507 of the family's 1533-position model. The record is from RNAcentral.